Molecule: ribosomal RNA, 253 nt
Filed under: uncultured bacterium
Lineage: Bacteria
Description: partial 16S ribosomal RNA
Rfam family: Bacterial small subunit ribosomal RNA
Source: RNAcentral
UACGUAGGCAGCGAGCGUUGUUCGGAGUUACUGGGCGUAAAGCGUGCGUAGGCGGUUUUCUAAGUUUGGUGUGAAAUCUCCCGGUUCAACUGGGAGGGUGCGCCGAAGACUGGGAGACUGGAGUGUGGGAGAGGUAGGCGGAAUUCCUGGUGUAGCGGUGAAAUGCGUAGAUAUCAGGAGGAACACCUGUGGUGUAGACGGCUUACUGGACCAUGACUGACGCUGAGGCACGAAAGCGUGGGGAGCAAACAGG